Long non-coding RNA from Canis lupus familiaris (dog), 687 nucleotides. RefSeq lists it as uncharacterized. The transcript is spliced from 3 exons. The record is from RefSeq and is a predicted model, not a curated record. NCBI's taxonomy places the organism in Eukaryota, Metazoa, Chordata, Mammalia, Carnivora, Canidae.
GGGAAGAUGGCUGAGGUGGCGGGAAGUUGGCUUCCCAGCAGCGCGAGGCCUCACCUCAGUCUCCCCAUCUGGAACAUGGAUGCACGCUCAUCCUUUGGAGCCAGGGGCCCACCUUGCCGCCUGGGAUUGAUAAGGAAAGGGUUCAAGCUCUGUUUGGGGCCCUUCUUCCUGCGGAUCACAAGCUGUCCAGAAGCCCAGUUGGAAAACCGGGCGAGUUAGAAGGGAUCAAACCUGGAGUCCCCCCAUCCGCAGCAGACUGUUGUGGGAAGGAGGAAGAAGGAGGAACUUGGAAGUCACCGGGCUGCUUCUCACCAGCCCUGUGUCCUUGCACUUGGUGACUCCGGGGUCAUGGCUUUGGCAAAAGGGCCGUGAGUUCAGUCCUAGUACAUGAACGGGUGUGGAAAGUCUCUCCUUUGCAGAAGCAGCAGCAGCAGCUGCUCAGUACUUGCCUCACGCAAAGGCACAGCUUUCUUCUUGGAGAGGGAAAAAAGGCCAUCCUCGCCGUGAAACGUGCUUCCUUCAUCUUGAGAGUAACGGAAAAAGUGUUGUGAACAGUCUGAGCCUGGUUUCCCUGGCCAUGACAAAUUCUCAUGAAACCAGCGCACAGGAACUGGAUUUUCACAGCCGCCUUCGGAGGGGCCGUGUGUCCCCAGGCGGUGGGGAGCUGCCCCUGAUGUGGAUUUCUGG